This 253-nucleotide ribosomal RNA is filed under the name uncultured bacterium. RNAcentral describes it as "partial 16S ribosomal RNA". It matches the Rfam family "Bacterial small subunit ribosomal RNA", at positions 524 to 776 of the family's 1533-position model. The record is from RNAcentral.
UACGAAGGGGGCUAGCGUUGCUCGGAAUUACUGGGCGUAAAGCGCACGUAGGCGGAUCUUUAAGUCAGAUGUGAAAGCCCCGGGCUCAACCUGGGAAUUGCAUUUGAGACUGCAUAGCUAGGGUGCGGAAGAGGGAAGCGGAAUUUCCGGUGUAGCGGUGAAAUGCGUAGAUAUCGGAAGGAACACCAGUGGCGAAAGCGGCUUCCUGGUCCAGCACCGACGUUCAGGCACGAAAGCGUGGGGAGCAAACAGG